UGCUGAUAGCUACGUGAUCGAUUUGGU
This 27-nucleotide small RNA is filed under the name Bombyx mori (domestic silkworm). Its description in RNAcentral is "ovarian small RNA-34211". Lineage: Eukaryota; Metazoa; Arthropoda; Insecta; Lepidoptera; Bombycidae. The record is from RNAcentral.